CAUUACCGAGCGAAUAUGCGGCGGCGGCCCCCACUGGGAUGGUAGCCGCCGCGUACCUCACCACCCGUGUUUACCGUACCCUGUUGCUUCGGCGGGCCCGCCGUUAACCCGGCCGCCGGGGGACCCCAGGUCCCCGGGCCCGUGCCCGCCGGAGACCCCUCGAACACUGCCUGAAGGUUGCUGUCUGAGUGAUCGAAAAACAAACAAAACUUUCAACAACGGAUCUCUUGGUUCCGGCAUCGAUGAAGAACGCAGCGAAAUGCGAUAAGUAAUGUGAAUUGCAGAAUUCAGUGAAUCAUCGAAUCUUUGAACGCACAUUGCGCCCCCUGGUAUUCCGGGGGGCAUGCCUGUCCGAGCGUCAUUACUGCCCUCAAGCGCGGCUUGUGUGUUGGGCUUCGUCCCCCCCGGGGGACGGGCUCGAAAGGCAGUGGCGGCGCCCCCCGAAGAAAAC
This 451-nucleotide unclassified non-coding RNA is filed under the name Arachnomyces graciliformis. Its description in RNAcentral is "sequence contains 18S rRNA gene, ITS1, 5.8S rRNA gene, ITS2". The stretch from base 208 to 361 matches the Rfam family "5.8S ribosomal RNA". The record is from RNAcentral. Lineage: Eukaryota; Fungi; Ascomycota; Eurotiomycetes; Onygenales; Arachnomycetaceae.